Molecule: transfer RNA, 62 nt
Filed under: Cerapanorpa dubia
Lineage: Eukaryota; Metazoa; Arthropoda; Insecta; Mecoptera; Panorpidae
Description: tRNA-Ala
Rfam family: tRNA
About the family: Transfer RNA (tRNA) molecules are approximately 80 nucleotides in length. Their secondary structure includes four short double-helical elements and three loops (D, anti-codon, and T loops). Further hydrogen bonds mediate the characteristic L-shaped molecular structure. tRNAs have two regions of fundamental functional importance: the anti-codon, which is responsible for specific mRNA codon recognition, and the 3' end, to which the tRNAs corresponding amino acid is attached (by aminoacyl-tRNA synthetases). tRNAs cope with the degeneracy of the genetic code in two manners: having more than one tRNA (with a specific anti-codon) for a particular amino acid; and 'wobble' base-pairing, i.e. permitting non-standard base-pairing at the 3rd anti-codon position.
Source: RNAcentral
AGGACCGUAGUUAAAUAUAACAUUUGAUUUGCAUUCAAAAGGUAUUGUAUCAAUCUGUCUUA